This 114-nucleotide ribosomal RNA is filed under the name uncultured bacterium. Its description in RNAcentral is "partial 16S ribosomal RNA". It matches the Rfam family "Bacterial small subunit ribosomal RNA", at positions 1369 to 1482 of the family's 1533-position model. The record is from RNAcentral.
CGUUCCCGGGCCUUGUACACACCGCCCGUCACACCACGGGAGUUGGCAACACCCAAAGUCGGUGAGGUAACCUUCGGGAGCCAGCCGCCUAAGGUGGGGUCGAUGACUGGGGUG